CCUACGGGAGGCAGCAGUGGGGAAUAUUGGACAAUGGGGGCAACCCUGAUCCAGCCAUGCCGCGUGUGUGAAGAAGGCCCUCGGGUUGUAAAGUACUUUCAGUGAGGAAGAACGCCUGGUGGUUAAUACCCAUCAGGAAAGACAUCACUCACAGAAGAAGCACCGGCUAACUCCGUGCCAGCAGCCGCGGUAAUACGGAGGGUGCGAGCGUUAAUCGGAAUUACUGGGCGUAAAGCGCGCGUAGGUGGCUUGAUAAGCCGGUUGUGAAAGCCCCGGGCUCAACCUGGGAACGGCAUCCGGAACUGUCAAGCUAGAGUGCAGGAGAGGAAGGUAGAAUUCCCGGUGUAGCGGUGAAAUGCGUAGAGAUCGGGAGGAAUACCAGUGGCGAAGGCGGCCUUCUGGACUGACACUGACACUGAGGUGCGAAAGCGUGGGUAGCAAACAGGAUUAGAUACCCUAGUAGUC
Molecule: ribosomal RNA, 465 nt
Filed under: Vreelandella stevensii
Lineage: Bacteria; Pseudomonadati; Pseudomonadota; Gammaproteobacteria; Oceanospirillales; Halomonadaceae
Description: partial 16S ribosomal RNA
Rfam family: Bacterial small subunit ribosomal RNA
Source: RNAcentral